Molecule: ribosomal RNA, 498 nt
Filed under: uncultured bacterium
Lineage: Bacteria
Description: partial 16S ribosomal RNA
Rfam family: Bacterial small subunit ribosomal RNA
Source: RNAcentral
AUUGAACGCUGGCGGCAUGCCUUACACAUGCAAGUCGAACGGUAACGCGGGGCAACCUGGCGACGAGUGGCGAACGGGUGAGUAAUGUAUCGGAACGUGCCCAGUUGUGGGGGAUAACUGCUCGAAAGAGCAGCUAAUACCGCAUACGACCUGAGGGUGAAAGCGGGGGAUCGCAAGACCUCGCGCAAUUGGAGCGGCCGAUAUCAGAUUAGGUAGUUGGUGGGGUAAAGGCCUACCAAGCCGACGAUCUGUAGCUGGUCUGAGAGGACGACCAGCCACACUGGGACUGAGACACGGCCCAGACUCCUACGGGAGGCAGCAGUGGGGAAUUUUGGACAAUGGGGGCAACCCUGAUCCAGCCAUGCCGCGUGCGGGAAGAAGGCCUUCGGGUUGUAAACCGCUUUUGUCAGGGAAGAAAAGACUCCUACUAAUACUGGGGGUUCAUGACGGUACCUGAAGAAUAAGCACCGGCUAACUACGUGCCAGCCGCCGCCGUAA